AUGAAUGUAGGCGGUGUUGUGUCAAGCACAGCAUCAACAGCUACACAGGGAGAAGGAGCACAGGUUCUUCCUAGAUCAAAAGAUCCAGCAUGGAAAUAUUGCACAUGUCCGGACAUCAGCAAGAAGAACUAUCUAAAAUGCAUAUUCUGCGGUCAUUUGUCCAGCAAUGGCACUAGUCGAAUCAAAUUGCACCUUGCAUGCAUUCCUAAGUCUGGUGUGGAUCACUGUGAGAAAGUGCCAGCUGAUGUCAAAGAGGAGAUCCUUCAGUACUUGACAAAGAAGGGUGACAAAAAGGCAGCCAAGCUUAUGGAGCAGAAGAGACGCAGAAAUGGAGUUGACUUGAGCCACUCGGAGGGGGAAGAACAAGCUACAAGUGAUGAAGAUGGCCUAAACCAUUCUGCACUUGUGCUUCAGCCAUCGAGAUCAACAAGAAAUAAAUCUAAAUCUUCAAGUGGCCCUAUGGACAAAUACUGUGAAUUAAAUCCCGAAGAGCUUGUUGCCGCAAGGAAGAGGAAACAUGGUGCUGACACGAUCUAGGGGAAGCUGACAACUGAGAAGAGAGAACAAAAAAGGGCUCGUGCUUGUGAGUACAUCUGCCAGUGGUUCUAUGAAGCUUGCAUUCCAUUCAACGCAGUCACACUUCCCAGCUUUGACCUCAUGCUUCAGUCAAUUGGACAGUAUGGUGAGGACUUGGACGGUCCUACUCCUUAUGAAAUGGGUGGCCCAAUAUUGAAUAAGAGGAAGAAAAGAGUUCAGGAGUCCUUCAAUGCACACAGGAAGACUUGGGAGCUUACUGGAUGUACAAUCAUGACAGAUGCAUGGACUGACAUAAGAGGAAGAGGGGUAAUGAAUCUUGUAGUUCAUAGUGCUCAUGGUGUGGUGUUUCUUAAUUCUGUGGACUGUUCAGCCAUGAAGAAAGAUGGGAAGUACAUCUUUGAGCUUGUUGAUAGAUGCAUAGAAGAGGUUGGUGAGAAGCAUGUAGUUCAAGUUGUGACUGAUAAUGCAAGUGUUAAUCAAGCGGCAUCAACCUUGUUGAAAGCAAAGCGCCCCAACAUAUUUUGGAAUGGUUGUGCUGCCCAUUCUAUUGAUCUGAUGUUAGAGGAUAUUGGCAAGCUUAAAACAGUGGACUCUACUAUUACACAAGCUAGAGCUGUCACUGUUUUCCUUUAUCCACACACUAGAGUUUUGUCUCUAAUGAGGGAAUUCCUUGGGAAAGAUCUGGUGAGGUCUGGCAUUACAAGGUUUGCUACAGCUUACUUGAACUUGAAAAGCAUGCUGGACAACAAGAAAGAACUGCAGAAGCUAUUCAGAUCAGAUCAGAUGGAUGAAAUGGGUUACUUAAAAAAGGUGAAAGGACGUGAUUCAAACCGAAGUGUGCGCUCUGAAAAUUUUUGGACGGGAGUAGAACGUGCUGUCAACUUCUUUGAGCCUUUGUCUAAUUUGCUGCGGCGAAUGGACAGCGAUGUACCAGCUAUGGGUUUCAUAUAUGGCGCUUUUUUGGAUGCAAAGAAGGAGAUUGCAGCUAGAUUUGACAAUGAGAAGGCUAGUAUCCAGGAAGUGCUACACAUUAUUGAUAAGAGAUGGGACAACAAAUUGAAGGGGACCCUACAUAGGGCUGGAUACUUCUUAAUCCCAUACUACUACUAUGAAAACAAGCUGGAGAUUGAGUUGGAUGGAAAAUUUAAAGAUGGCCUUGUUGCUUGCAUGGAGAAGAUGGUUAGAGAUGGUAAGAAGGAAGAUAUAAUGACAGCUGAGUGUCAGGCAUAUCAAAAUGAAGAGGGGUCGUUUGGAAGGGACAGUGCUAAAAGGCAGCGGAGAAACAAGAACUUUGAUCCAGCUGAAUGGUGGUCCAAUCAUGCAUCAAGUGCACAAAAUCUCAGGGUACUGGCUAUGCGGAUUUUGAGCUUGACAUGCAGCUCAUCAUCUUGUGAGAGAAACUUCAGUGUUUUUCAGCAGGUUCAAGGCAGCAAAAGGUGCAACAGGCUACUUCAUGAAAAAAUGAGAGAUCUUGUCUUCAUCAAGGCCAACUCCCAACUUCAACAAAAGAGAAUGAACAAAGACAGGGAUCCACUUGUGGACAGAACGCAUCCAGAUGUUGUGGAAGAUGAAGAUAAGAAGUGGAUCACAGGAAUUGUGCCAGUUCCAGUUGUGGAUACUGCAGAUGAACCUGAAGAAGAACCAAUACCACAACCGAGAGCAAGAGCUGCUGCAUCAAAAAGAAAUAAAGCUCGUCAGCCUAGGAAGAAGUUGCUCCCAGUUUUUCGUGAUGAUGAGCUGCAAUCUGUGGGUUCUUCUUCUGAUUCAGAUGAUGAUGCCAUGGCAGCAAGUUCAUCUGAUUCUGAUUGA
This 2346-nucleotide ribosomal RNA is filed under the name Triticum aestivum (bread wheat). RNAcentral's name for it is "partial small subunit ribosomal RNA". The record is from RNAcentral. Lineage: Eukaryota; Viridiplantae; Streptophyta; Magnoliopsida; Poales; Poaceae.